Molecule: long non-coding RNA, 414 nt
Organism: Manacus vitellinus (golden-collared manakin)
Lineage: Eukaryota; Metazoa; Chordata; Aves; Passeriformes; Pipridae
Exons: 3
Source: RefSeq, a predicted model, not a curated record
AGAAGCUGGGCACAUGGGAAACGUCACCUGUCAAACAACUGCCUGGAAUGAGAUCUGCAACUGUUAGUUGGCUCUUGCCGUAAUUGAUGGACACUGCCAGUUGCUUAGACAGAUGGGAAUUAAUGCUGGUGUUCCCAUUAGAAGUUGCCAUCACAAUCGCGUUGGCGUUACUCUCCUGCGCAGAGUUGAUGUGUGUAAGCCGGUGUGUUUGGAAGGAGCAAGCACAGCUCAUACCUGCAGUCCUUCCUUCCAAUGUAUUGGAGCCGCCGAUCCAACGCAGAGCAGAUGAACUGCUUGCCAGCAGCUUACAGAACACUUCGCAAUGGUAAGGAAAAUGCUUCAUUCCUUGACGUUCAGAGGAGCGUGGUUCAGCGAGCUGGACUGUCAUCCCCGGAGGCAUCUGUGAGCUGUAUU